This 887-nucleotide ribosomal RNA is filed under the name Escherichia coli. Its description in RNAcentral is "partial 23S ribosomal RNA". It matches the Rfam family "Bacterial large subunit ribosomal RNA", at positions 614 to 1506 of the family's 2925-position model. The record is from RNAcentral. Lineage: Bacteria; Pseudomonadati; Pseudomonadota; Gammaproteobacteria; Enterobacterales; Enterobacteriaceae.
AAUGGGUCAGCGACUUAUAUUCUGUAGCAAGGUUAACCGAAUAGGGGAGCCGAAGGGAAACCGAGUCUUAACUGGGCGUUAAGUUGCAGGGUAUAGACCCGAAACCCGGUGAUCUAGCCAUGGGCAGGUUGAAGGUUGGGUAACACUAACUGGAGGACCGAACCGACUAAUGUUGAAAAAUUAGCGGAUGACUUGUGGCUGGGGGUGAAAGGCCAAUCAAACCGGGAGAUAGCUGGUUCUCCCCGAAAGCUAUUUAGGUAGCGCCUCGUGAAUUCAUCUCCGGGGGUAGAGCACUGUUUCGGCAAGGGGGUCAUCCCGACUUACCAACCCGAUGCAAACUGCGAAUACCGGAGAAUGUUAUCACGGGAGACACACGGCGGGUGCUAACGUCCGUCGUGAAGAGGGAAACAACCCAGACCGCCAGCUAAGGUCCCAAAGUCAUGGUUAAGUGGGAAACGAUGUGGGAAGGCCCAGACAGCCAGGAUGUUGGCUUAGAAGCAGCCAUCAUUUAAAGAAAGCGUAAUAGCUCACUGGUCGAGUCGGCCUGCGCGGAAGAUGUAACGGGGCUAAACCAUGCACCGAAGCUGCGGCAGCGACACUAUGUGUUGUUGGGUAGGGGAGCGUUCUGUAAGCCUGUGAAGGUGUGCUGUGAGGCAUGCUGGAGGUAUCAGAAGUGCGAAUGCUGACAUAAGUAACGAUAAAGCGGGUGAAAAGCCCGCUCGCCGGAAGACCAAGGGUUCCUGUCCAACGUUAAUCGGGGCAGGGUGAGUCGACCCCUAAGGCGAGGCCGAAAGGCGUAGUCGAUGGGAAACAGGUUAAUAUUCCUGUACUUGGUGUUACUGCGAAGGGGGGACGGAGAAGGCUAUGUUGGCCGGGCGACGGUUGUC